Molecule: microRNA, 22 nt
Filed under: Hyalella azteca
Lineage: Eukaryota; Metazoa; Arthropoda; Malacostraca; Amphipoda; Hyalellidae
Description: miR-71-3p
Source: RNAcentral
UCUCACUACCUUGUCUUUCAGG